GCAAUGCCCAGGGUCACCUUGCUGUCAUGCUGGAGAUAGGGAUCCUCCUGUCCUCUGUCUCCUAGAGCCAGCUGGCCAUGGUCCAUUGGCAUGGACAAUUCUUGGGGAAACUGGGAAAUAAUAAGAUCAGUUCACUAGCUACACCCCAAUUCCUGCUCCCUUCCUAUCCUUCCAUCUAGGUCUGGCUCCUCCUCUUCUGCUCUCUCUGAGCCACUAAGAACCCCCACUCUCUGAAGGUUCCUUUGAAUCAUAAGAGUGUCACACCGACCAUCCUACUGCCCCUCAAGACUCAAUUUCCCUCUGUCACUUUGUCUCAUGAAAAGGUUAUUCAUAACUAACUCACUUAAAGCCACCAGGAAUGUUUAAGGGUCAUCUAUGGAGGGUCUCAAUGUACAACACCCAAACCAGGCAGUGGCAUUUAUGCAAAGACAGAGCUGAUGAGGGUCCGCUCGGCAAAUGUAUAGCCACUACUUAUCUUCCCCUGGGCUUCAGCCAAAGCCAGCAGCAAUGUCAGAGCAGUCAGGGUGUCUGGCUUUCAGAGUGUCCUUUGGAGGACAGCAGGCUUAGCAUGGAUGCCGGGAUUGCUUUAGAAGACUGACGGCAAUCAAGCAGGAAACAGAACUACAUAGAAGAAGAGAACUGUAGGAACCAUCACGAGGUUCAAAAUGAACCAAAAAUAUCAACAUGAUUGUCAGAAAAGCUAAUGCAAUGUCACUCAUCAACAUAAAGAAUUCAAAGCAAGGGAGACAAAAACAUCUUCGGAGGCGUAUGCUAAAGGGACCACACAUGGGAAGGUAUUCAUGGCUCAGUGACGACUUGAAGAAGGGAUGGUGAAAAAUUGGAGUAUGCUCUUGGGUUGUGUUCAGGAUAGCAGAGAUGUGGAAAUCACAUCCUUCCAGAAAUGCAUCCUCUAAAACACAGCUACUUACAUGACAGACAAGUGGGCACCAUCUCAUCUUCUCCCCCACUUGUCCCUCUCCAGAAUCCCCAUGGAAAUAACCUAUAAGGUCCUCCAUUGUAUGGUUUGAAUCUGGAUCCAGGUUCCCUACAUUGUAAGAAUCUACAUUUCUAUUUUCUUCAAAGGUGUGUAUAUGAUGACCAUUGGAUCUGAUAUUUAUCAAGGCUGUUAUCAUUUUCUCAUGAUCAGUAUUAUGGUAGAUUUUUACUAAUAUUCUUUGUUAGUCCCAGUCUUCCUUUAUCUCCGGGAAGACAGGUUCUCUAGUACCUCAUAAUGAAAAAUAGUUAUUGAUUUGACAGAUGAAAACUUUCAACAGGAAAGACUUGUUAUUUUUCUCAGCUUUGGUCAUAUCAACACAUUGUGGAGCUUCUCAAUACCUGGUCCCUGGAGGUCUAUGAUUGUCACAGUUCCAGAGUUCCCCACAUUAAACAUGUAAUGAGUGAAAACAAUGUUGUUUUAAGACAGCAAGAUUUGGGAGUUAACUUGUUACUGCAGCAUAAUCUAUCUAAAACCAACUAACACAAUCACCUUGCUAAAAAACAUGUGCCUGGGAUGUAUCUAAUCUUUAAUAGACUCGGGCCUCUAAAUGAAGGCCUGGUACUAUUGUAGCUGGAUCUCAGAUUAGGAGUGAUAGGAGAUACUUGUAAGAAUCACUGUUUCCUUCUUAAAGCUUUACAUGGUAUGGAGUCUCCUCUUGGAAGUUACCUUUAACACUCCUCCACCCCAAGUUUCAAGAUUAAUGUCUCAAGAUCUGCCUGCAUUCUAUACACUGAUAUAAUGGGGGGAGGGGAGAGAAAGUUCUGGGUAAAGAAGCCAAACUUUGCAAUAGAAACUGGACAUUAGCCUCUGAAUGGUUAAUAAAAAUGGCCACUCUUAAUCAUCCUCACAGCAUAUACUCCCCCAGGGGUCUAUGGGCCAGCAGGAAACCAGCUUGGAGAGAAAGGUUACACUUCUGUAUCUCCAACAAGGGUUUAAUUAGAAGUGUUCCUGUUUGCUAAACAAACACUCAUGCAUUAUGAAAUUAAUCAACCAUUCUGCCUAGCAAGGUUAGGACCUGAGUCCUUGGCUGAGAAACACGUGUUUACGGUCUCUGGGAAUUCCUUUCCUGGUCCCAGGCAGGAGGUUACCAGAGAAGACAACAAAUCAAUAGUCUGACAUAACUUUCAGACAUCAAUUCAUUGGUGAAGAAAGUCUGCAUGUUCACAGAUCUGAUUU
Non-coding RNA from Peromyscus maniculatus bairdii (prairie deer mouse), 2173 nucleotides. The record is from RefSeq and is a predicted model, not a curated record. Lineage: Eukaryota; Metazoa; Chordata; Mammalia; Rodentia; Cricetidae.